AGAUGGAGUCUGUUGCCUAGGCUAGAGUGCCGUGGCUUGGUCUCAGCUCACUGCAACCUCCACCUCCCGGGUUCAAGUGAUUCUCCUGCCUCAGCCUCCUGAGUAGCUGGGAUUACAGGCACCUGCCAUCAUGCCCAGCUAAUUUUUGUAUUUUUAGUAGAGACGGGGUUUCACCACGUUGGCCAGGCUGCUCUCGAACUCCUGACCUCAAGUGAUCCACCCACCUCUGCCUCCCAAAGUGCUGGGGGCAUGAGCCACCACGCCCAGCCCUAUUUUCCUGUUUUUAAUGUCAUUAUUCCCUUCUCUCAAACCUUGGCACCAUGUUUCCAAACUCUUGGUCUCCUUUCCUUGGUAAACUUUAUUUUGUCUUUUCCAUUGUCUCUGUUAGGUACCUGAUAAUUAGGACAUUGUGAGCCUAACAUUGAAAAGCAGCUCCUCUUGUCAUGAUUGUUAACAUUUUAUAGAUUAUAUUGCUCUAUAUUAUAUUCCACUGUGUGUUUGCCUGCUACUGUUGCUUUCACUAUUCUAAUAUGUGUAAAAGAUCAGCAUAUUCCCUGAUGUGUUAGAAAAGAUUCUCUUCGUUUAUAUUUAGGAGGGAGGCGUUUUCUAUGGUGAGCCACAAUACACUCACCUUUCUCUUGUUGUUGUUGCUAUAGGACUAAGAUCACUAACUUCUCUUAGGAAGAUGCUUAGGUAACCAUGAUGAUCCUAAACCAUAACCCUGAUGAACAUGUUAAAGAGACCUCUAGGGAAGGAGGAUUUAGGCAAGUUCAUUUUAGUUCCAUCUAGAAAAGGAGUGGUAUCAGCACAGUAAAGCUAACCAGUAGAUACUGUGGUUUUUCUCUGUGAGCCUACUAAACAGGGCUUUGGGCACUGGCACCAGCACUCUGAAAUGCCACCACCUGUGUGGUGAUAGGGAGCCCUGUAUAGCCUGUGCUACUUGUGUAAUGUGAACCAAGGCCCCCAGUGGGUUGUGAGAAAGCUGGAAUCAAUCAUCCUUUCUUCCUUCCCUCCCUCUCUUCCUCCCUGUUUCUCCCUCCCUGUUUCUCCCCUCCUCCUUUUUUGUUUUAGACUGCUUGUAAUCAGCCUGAUCUGAAUCUUCAGUCCACAUGCUCUUUCCUGGUUUGGCCCCACUUCUCUAAGAUAGUCUGAAAAAAAGGAAAAUGAAAAGGAAGGUACCUGUUCCAGUUCUUGGUAGGUAGGCAGUCUGAGGUGACGGAGCUCCUCCUUUGAUUUUAUGAGGGAGUCUUUAUUCUCCCACUUGACAAAAGCCCGCUUUCUGACCAAGACUGGGCUAGGACAUGGAGAGGUGGGACUGGGAAGCACAUAUAGAGUAUCCUGGGCUGUCUUCCUUGGGGAAGACAGCACAAAGGGACCUGAAGGGCCCUCACUGCCAAUCCAAGGCUGUGAUUCAGUCUGGGUGGCCUUGUGGGCAACAGCCCUCUUCAGCCGAAGAGAAAUCUUCUGUGAGGACACUCCCAUCAGCAUGAUGGUCCGAUCCUUACUCUCCUCACCAUGUUCCACAGCCUCCCCAUUAGGGAAUGUAAAAGGUCCUUCCUCAGGUGCUGUAGGAAGAUACAGGACAUGCUAGUACUCUAGCUCAGGAAAGCAGAGACUCAAGACUGAGACAUUAGUUUCAAUGAGACCUUUCUUAUUGUUACUGGAGUUCCAUAUGUUCAAAGAGGACCCAUUUUCAGGCACCCAGUUUAGGGGGUGAGGGCUAAAUCCAGGGGCUUUGGCCAAGACAUGGCCACUGGUGUCAAGCUACAUCCACCCUGAGAAAGAGCAUCUUCUGUUUGCACAAAGGUUGCUUAGAGGGUUUCUGUUUUUGGAGGUAAGUUGAAGCCCCUGCCUCAGUGCCACAGAGUUUCAUAAAAUAAAGAGAACAAGAACAAUAUCUAGACAGAAAUGCUCCAUAAAUACUUUUUUGGACCCUGGAAUUUGGGAGCUCUCCACAUUCAUGUCUCAGUCCUGAUACAGACACCCUCUAGCAGGUAAGUACUCUCUGGGAACCCGUUUGUACAGUGGGCACAGCUUAACCAUGAGAAAGAAGUUUUAGCUUUGUGGAAAUGUACCUUAAAAUGUAUUGCCCCUGUUUGAUACUGAGAGGAAAAAGGUAAGUUACUCUGGUUUUCUUUAACUAAGACCCACUACCCAGGAUCCAGCCUAGUAAUGUUAGCCAUAAGGAGUAAUUUCCUGGAAAAGUAAAGUAAGAGCAGAUGUAUUUGAGGUGGGCGAUAGAUAGGCUUUAAGAUAAACUGAAGAUCAUCUCAGUUUACUUUUUGGAAAGACUCAGCAGUGAUUAAAACAUUGGAUAGUCUGACUUUGAAGACAUUGGAUUAGUAUAGUCAAGAUGGCUUUAAAAAACAACAAAAAAGUUUUCUAAUUAGUAUUUGACCAGAAUCAACCAGUUGUAAAACUAGAAAUCUUACAAAGAUCUUAGUUUAAUUCUUGCCAAAGAGAACAUAAUUUAAAUUAACAUUUAAUAUUUAUCCAAUAAAGCUCAAAAUUGUAAUUACAUAGUUAUUUAAGUGCUCAAAUAUUUAAAUUGUUAUGGUCACCCUAAAAUAAUUACAUUUUUUUUUUGGAGGAGUAUUAUGGGUGAUUAUUUUUUAUAUCUCCAUUUUCCAACUUUUCUGUAAUACAGUUAUACAUUCUUUUUACCAACCUAGAUUGUCAAAUUAUGAAUAUAAUCCCCUCCAUUAUUUAGGUUGAAUUCCUAGACAUACAGGGAGCUUGGGACAGAAAUUCAGGCACUAUACACUUUGAGGAGCAAAAGGAAGAAAGCAGUAAGAACAAAAAGCAACAGAAAGCCCUUAAAAUUGCAGGAAGAGUCCUGAGAGAUGACAGUGUUAACAGAAAUUAGGAGAGGUACAAGUUUCAAGAAAGUGAAAGUUGAUGAGAUUGAGAAAGAUAGUAAUGGGCUAAAAGAAAUCACUGGAAAUUUUGAUUUGAUAAGCAGAAACCAUCCCCGAUAAUAAUGAGAUAGAAAUAACUAAGAAUGGAUGAUAUCCAAUAGUCAUUUUUGCCAUUAUAAAUAGACCUUGACUUUUAGCAACUUUAUAAUAAUAUAGUAAUUUUCAUUUUGUUGCCCAUGAUACAUGUAUGUUUAUCCUACCUAUUGGUCUACUUCCUGACAAGUACUUAUCUUACCACUGUGGGGCAGGGUUUGGAAAAGGGGAGAGAUGGCCUGGAGAGGAGAAAUCUCUAACAACUGCCCCUUCAGGGAUUCCUUUUUGAGGCCUCAGAUUCAGGCUGUUCUCUGCUGUCUUUUCCACUUGAAAAUCUGCAUUUUAUGUGACAGAAUUGUGGUGCCCUAAGGUUAUGUGUAACUCUGAAAAUACAGAGUGCAUGAAUGAAAUACAGGGUACAGGCCUAUUUUUCACAAUGGUGUUUGUGAUUUCUAUUAAAAGUUGAACAUCAAAUUCUUAGUUGAUUAGCAUAUUCUUUCUUAGAAAAGACCCUAAGAGGAUUUUUUCCCCCUAAGAACAAAACACCCCAAAAGUUUGAAGUCAGCCUGUGUUUAGAUAGAUAGUAAGGGGAAAGAUUUAGGAAGACAGAAAAUUUUUACUUGGCUGAUGUGAUAAAAAGGAAUGUGCAUUUCUUACAUGGAAGUGAAGCACUUAAGCUUUGAUCUAAUUGAUCAAUAAAUGCAUGUGGAUAUUUACCACUGAACAUUAGAAGUGCUUUAAAUGCAGAAUGUAUACUAUAUGGACUUUUUCUCUAGGCAUCUGUUGUAACGAUAGUGGCCUUACCACUUUAGGGAGCUUAUUUCAAAAGAGUAAUGAUAUUAACAUAUGGUACAUACGUGUUAAGCCCGAUUUUAAGUGCUUUAUAUAAAUAAACUCAUUUCUUAUUUCCCUUUUUGGUUCUACUUAGAAGUCACACAGCUUCUUAUAUUAAACUGGCACUAACCUAAUAAGCACUGGAUUUUUGCUGAAGACCUAUAUGUUCUUUAGUUAGUCAAGGUGAUCAGUGUUUUGACAUGCUGGCUAACCAGCCAGCCCAGAGAUCAGGGCCUAGUAUAGCACUAUGAAGCCUUGUGCCCCAACCGUCCCCAACAAGCCCUUCAUGUUACCCUUUUUUAAAUAGCUCCUCAUUUUAUCAUACAGACAGGCACCUGUCAUUUAAGACUCUCUAGACUGUCUCAUUUUUCUACUUCAUCUCUUACCUAAAUCGCCUUAACACCUUUUUUUUUUUCCCACUAUCCCAAUAGUACUAAAGCUGUUCUGCCCUUGGCCUUUUGCUCCUACUGUACAUCCUAUCUGGAAUGUGCUCUGUCCUCCUCCCAUAACUUAAUUCUACCCUUCCUUCAAGACUUAGCUGAAAUUCCACCUUCUCCAUAAAGUCCCAACAGCCCCAGUACAGCGAUCUCUCUGCUAUGUCCUCCUGUCAUUUGCUGUCACUGCAACCUAUUUGGCUCUUAGCAUAUACUCUUGCAUUGUUUCUAAACUGCUCUAUAUUUGUAUAUUAUCUUCCCCCUAACUAGAACUACUCCAUGAAGACAGAGACAGUCUAUUCUGCUUCUUUGCACUUUAGAUCUGGGGCAUCUCAAACAUACUCAAAGUCAUUUCCUUAUUGUACUGUUGUUUGCAUUUUAAUGUAAGUGAAUUUGCUAGUUUAUUUCUUGAAUGUUGAAUGUUUUGUCUCAGUCCUAGGAUUUUCCUUGUAUGAUUUGGAAUUUUAAUCUGCAAGCUCCACUUGAGUGGGAGUUUGCCCCCCGCCCUUCCUUUCUACAUUUAGCCUUCUGUUUCUAGAAUUUUGACAAUUACCUGCUACCUGGCCCCUCAGGGUUCCUCAGACUAGGACCUGGUCUUAAAUUAAUGGCUUGGGGUUCCUCUCCUGGAGAAAAAUUGGGGCUAUCAUAGACAGUCACUCAGCUAGUAGAACUCUGUCUGUGGCUAAGUCUGCUUCCUGCUGCUAAGUGACAGUCACAGUUUUUUAAGCAUUGGAUUUUUCCUUCUCAAUUUUAAGCAGUAAGUCUGGUUCUGGUCACCUUUCACGCAUAGGUGGUCUCUGUUACUAUGCAGAAAUCAAAUUCGCAGCUGCCUCUACCUGCUUCUAGACAUGCAGCCAAGCAGACCAGUAGCUUUAGCAUCUACUCCUUGCAGUAUGUUUCUAGUACAUGUGUAACCUUGAGAUAUCUGUUUUUGAAUGCACUAUGCCUUUUAAUGUGAUUUAUAUAUUAUAUAUGUUAAUUUACAUUAUAUAUACACACACAUAUACAUAUGCAUGUACAUACAUAUUUUCCCUAGUCACUGUUUUGGGUUUGGAGCUGGGGAUAGGGUGGGAUAGUUAACUGUUAACUUGAGGCACUAUCUUGGCCAGAAGUCAGUAUCUGUGCUUGGUGUAGGUGCUCAAUAAGUACCUGCUGAUUUUUAUGCCUAACUAGGACUCUGCUAUUCUCACACCUUAAGUCUAAGACAUAGGCAUGGAGCUAAAAUCCAAAACUGUGGGAGGGGUCAGCCCUGGCCUAGCUGUUGAGGUUACAUUUAAACUCAAACACAGAGUCAUGAGGUAAUCUUUCCGUCUCUAAAACUUUUCCCUUCCUACUUCACUUUCCAAGAUGAAUGUUCCCAGUGCCUACUUACCAUGGAGCAGAUCUUUGGCUCCCAAUGAGCAAAGGUUGGACACUGGCCCCACAGAAGUGUUGUUCUCUGUGGGAGCUACUGGGUUCUUGGCUCGCUUCUUACACUCAAACACAACCAGAUCUUUGCAUUGUUUGUGACAGUUCAUCCCGCAGUCUGUGGACAAGACAUCCUGGGUCAAGAAGUCUUUCACUUUUCUCUCUUCCCCAGUGUGUCUCACAACCAAAUUCAUGCAGUGCUUUCUUGUCACACAUGUCUGUUCUAUCUUCUGGAGCUAAGACACUUAACAUUCCUAAUGAAGCUAGCAUUCUUCUCACUUGGUGAAGCCCAGAGCUCACACUCUUGAUGUAGCCCUUAUCAGUGAAUCUCAGCAUCAGAAGCAGUAUCCUGAUAUCUUGGAGGGAAGAGAUGGUGUCCUGGUAUCCCAUACAUUCUGCCUACUCUAGGGAGACCCUCCGGAAACACUCAGCUGUUAGGUCUUAUUUUCUUUCUUGCAGUAAAAGGUUUCCUCUCUUUCACUCCUGAAUUCUCCUAGUCACAAGGAAGGACAGUUAUGUCCUGAGUGAUAAAGGAAAGCUGACAAGGGCCUUUAGUAAUCAUUUAUCUUCUGUUGCAGAAGAGAUUCUAUCUUUUUCACUGGGGACCCACCCUUCCAUGACUAUAUGAGAGCACCAUCUCCUACCUGCUAUCCCUGUUCUAGGCCAGCCACGACAGAAAGAGGAUUUUAUACAGAGAAAAUGCCUAUCUGUGCAACCAGGCAUUUCUCUCUUCGGUGUGGCGGUCAUUCACCGGGGGUGUCCGAGGGAAACCACUUUGGGGAUGAGACUCUGAACUAUGCUGAGAAGUUGUGGACUAAAUGGACAACUACUAUGGGUAAAAAAUGUUUUAGAGGUGGGACUCUAAGACCAGCUGAUAUGGUUUAGCUCUGUGUCCCCAUCCAAACCUCACCUUGUAGUGCCCAUAAUCCCCAUGUGUCAUGGGAGGGACCCAAUGGGAGGUAAAUGAAUCCUGGGGGCGGUUACCCUCAUGUUGUUCUCAUGAUAGUGAGUGACUGCUCAUGAGAUCUGUUGGCUUCAUAAGGGCUUUUCCCCCUUUUGCUCAGCACUUCUCCUUCCUGCCAGCAUGUGAAGAAGGAUGUGUUUGCUUCCCCUUCUGCCAUGAUUGUGAGUUUCCUUAGGCCUCACCAGCCCUGUGGAACUGUGAGUCAAUUAAACCUCUUGCCUUUAUAAAUUACCCAGUCUCAGGCAGUUCUCUAUAGCAGCGUGAGAAUGGACUGAUACACCAGGAAUAUGUCAACAAUAUUGAGUCUUACCUUUACAUCGAUAUCCUUGUUUGAUCACUCCCCAGAGCUAUGAAACAAGAGACAGAAUGCACCACAUGUCAUUCAUCCAUCUGGUGUGAGGCUACAAGGUGACAUUCCUUUAUUUUCCUUCAUUUUACUCUCUAGCUCAAGUGGGAAGGAAACCUCAUUUAUCUCUCAUGUCUUGUCCCUUCUGACCUUAAAUCCAUGAGAAGAGUUUAUGCUGAUCAAAGUUUCUCAAGAAGCAGGUUUUUUUUGUUUUGUUUUUUUUGAGACAGUCUUGCCCAGUUGCCCAGGCUGGAGUGCAGUGGUGCGAUCUCGGCUCACUGCAACCUCCACCUCCUGGGUUCAAGCAAUUCUCCUGUCUCAGUUUCCCAAGUAGCUGGGACUACCAGGCAUGUUCCACCACACCUGGCUAAAUUUUUUUGUAUUUUUAGUAGAGACGGGUUUUCACCAUGUUAGGUGGGCUGGUCUCGAACUCGGGGCCUCAAGUGAUCUGCCUGCCUUGGCCUCCCAAAGUGCUGGGAUUACAGGCAUGAGCCACCACACCUGGCUCUCACUAGCAGCCUUAUGACCCAGACAUUCUCGAGAAAUGGAUGAAUCAUCGGGCAAACAGGUUCCUCAGGACUCCAAACUGAGAAGGAUAUAGAGCCUUGCAUCAGGACCCGAGUUUAGGGGGAAACGAUUGGUCAGGAGUGGAACGGAAGAGGGGCAUAGCCAAGGUUAUCUCCUAAAGACAGAAGGUAUCUCAUAUGUCUUUGUUAUAACACUUGAAACAGCACAUGAAUAUUAUACUUUAAAAGUAUAUCCUAAUUCAGCAUUUCUGGUACCAUUUAUCUAAGGCCUCAUUGCAAUAGAAAAGAAAAAACAGGAAGAAGCGAGAGAUGAUGAGUGCAGGUAAAAACCACACGCUUGAGCUCUAGGUUAUUCUAGGUGUCUGUCUGGGCUCCAAGCUGGGAUGGGUUCAUAAGGAUUGUGAGGUCUGUGCCUGUCUUAAAGUAUCCCACACUCUUCCCCAAAUUCAGCCCUGGAGCACCCUAAGAACAACUUACAAAUCCAGCACAGUUGUCACAAAAAGUGGGCUUCAGGUAGGUGGUCUCUUGGAAGUUGUGAGGAAAGCCCAGGCCCAGCUUGGAAUAGAUUGAGCUGGCUCUCAUGAAGUAGGCUGUGAUCUCAUCCCUGCUGAUGAGGCCUUCCCUGCCGGCAGAUGACCAAGGCAAGGAUGUGAGUAUAAGGGGCAUGGAGGCAGGUAGCAAGGGGGGGCUUCUAGCCUUAGAAACUCACCUUUCUUUUUAUCCUCAGUGGUAAUAUGGUAUGUGCUACCUCAUGAUUACUUCCAUGGGCCCUACUCUUAACAAGGAUACAAGAUGACAUGUGGUAAGUAGGUAAGGCAGCAUUACUCAUUUCCACAGAGGUGUUCUUUGGCCAAACUAGGUUUCCCUAACUAACUUGACCACUAUCUAUAAGACUUGAAAAAGAAACAAUGUAACAUGUACAUGUGUAUAGGGAGGGAAAUGUCUUAUGCUACAGUUUCUGACUUUAGACAGUACCUAACUGGAACCCACUAACCAUAUGAUUAGUUUCCUAUAGAGAACCAAGAUAGAAUUUAUUUAACCUUGAGAAAAGUAAAAAUGCAAAGUAUGAAUAAGUAUUAGUUGUUUCCCAAAAUCUGUAAUGACAAAGCAAGAAGGAAGACUAAACUUUUUCUUAUUUAUAGUUGACUAUUUAUAAAGUGGCAGAUUUAUGGAAUGUUCAAUUCAGUUUUUGUUUUUUUUUUUUUUGAGACAGGUUUUUGCUCUUGUGGCCCAGGCUGGAGUGCAGUGGCAUGAUCUCGGCUCACUGCAACCUCCGCCUCCUGGGUUCAAACAACUCUCCUGCCUCAGCCUCCCGAGUAGCUG
RNAcentral lists this long non-coding RNA (8786 nucleotides) under Homo sapiens (human). RNAcentral describes it as "HSALNT0380674". The record is from RNAcentral. Lineage: Eukaryota; Metazoa; Chordata; Mammalia; Primates; Hominidae.